RNAcentral lists this transfer RNA (71 nucleotides) under Ictidomys tridecemlineatus (thirteen-lined ground squirrel). RNAcentral describes it as "Spermophilus tridecemlineatus (thirteen-lined ground squirrel) tRNA". It matches the Rfam family "tRNA". From Rfam's summary of the family: Transfer RNA (tRNA) molecules are approximately 80 nucleotides in length. Their secondary structure includes four short double-helical elements and three loops (D, anti-codon, and T loops). Lineage: Eukaryota; Metazoa; Chordata; Mammalia; Rodentia; Sciuridae. RNAcentral also lists the same sequence under 1 other name. The record is from Rfam by way of RNAcentral.
UGGGGUAUAGCUAAGUGGUACAGCAUUUGCCUAACAUGUGCAAGGUCCUGGGUUUGAUCCCAGCACUACAA